RNAcentral lists this ribosomal RNA (207 nucleotides) under uncultured bacterium. Its description in RNAcentral is "partial 16S ribosomal RNA". It matches the Rfam family "Bacterial small subunit ribosomal RNA", at positions 568 to 774 of the family's 1533-position model. The record is from RNAcentral.
CGCGUAGGCGGCCCGUCAAGUCCCGUGUGAAAGCCCCCGGCUCAACCGGGGAAUGGCACGGGAAACUAGCAGGCUUGAGUUCGGGAGAGGGAAGCGGAAUUUCGGGUGUAGCGGUGAAAUGCGCAGAUAUCCGAAGGAACACCGGUGGCGAAGGCGGCUUCCUGGACCGACACUGACGCUGAGGCGCGAAAGCUAGGGGAGCAAACG